CCUACGGGGGGCAGCAGUGGGGGAUAUUGCACAAUGGGGGAAACCCUGAUGCAGCGACGCCGCGUGGGCGAAGAAGUAUUUCGGUAUGUAAAGCCCUAUCAGCAGGGAAGAAGGAGGACGGUACCUGACUAAGAAGCCCCGGCUAACUACGUGCCAGCAGCCGCGGUAAUACGUAGGGGGCAAGCGUUAUCCGGAUUUACUGGGUGUAAAGGGGGCGCAGACGGCAGCGCAAGCCAGGAGUGAAAGCCCGGGGCCCAACCCCGGGACUGCUCUUGGAACUGCGCGGCUGGAGUGCAGGAGGGGCAGGCGGAAGUCCUGGUGUAGCGGUGAAAUGCGUAGAUAUCAGGAGGAACACCGGUGGCGAAGGCGGCCUGCUGGACUGCGACUGACGUUGAGGCCCGAAAGCGUGGGGAGCAAACAGGAUUAGAUACCCGAGUAGUC
RNAcentral lists this ribosomal RNA (441 nucleotides) under uncultured bacterium. Its description in RNAcentral is "partial 16S ribosomal RNA". It matches the Rfam family "Bacterial small subunit ribosomal RNA", at positions 338 to 795 of the family's 1533-position model. The record is from RNAcentral.